Scaptodrosophila lebanonensis is the source of this 488-nucleotide long non-coding RNA. RefSeq lists it as uncharacterized. The record is from RefSeq and is a predicted model, not a curated record. The transcript has 2 exons. Lineage: Eukaryota; Metazoa; Arthropoda; Insecta; Diptera; Drosophilidae.
UAAUCUACGUACUCAAACCCGUAUGCAACGUUUUAAAAAUACAACGGAACUACUUGAUGCUUUCAAAAGCAUACAAUUGAAACCAGAUUACACACACAAGAUGGAUAACAAGUAGAAUAUCGAGCCUUUAGCCAACGCAAAUAGUCGAGAAAUGGUCGUCAAAUGCUUCAACUGUAACUCCAAAGGACAUAUGGCCCCUGAAUGUCGCAAGCCCAAAAGAACACCUGGAGCGUGUUUCGUUUGCAAUGAAAUGGGCCACAUUUCAAUAAACUGUAGCAAACGCAACGACUUGGAACUACGAGAAAAUAUGAAAACCAGCAACAAAAAACACUAAUUGACACUGGAAGCCCUAUCAGUUUAAUAUGUGAGGAGAAGGUACCCAAGAAACUUAUUGAAGACUAUUCUUUUGUUCAAAAUUAUUACGGAAUAAAUAAAAGUAAACUUAUAAUCAUUGGAGUAAUAAAAUAAAGAGAAUAAAUAAAAGAGAA